GACAGUUACAUAUUUAGGUCACGUAUAUGUGUUUUUAUGUGUGUUUUUCCUCUUAAGAUAUGGUUUUGCAUCAAGGGUUCUUGUAUGCCACUGUUUAGGUAUAAACAUGUCCAUCAACCGUAUGAUUUGCAGUUUACUGGAAACAAUGAUUGCAUGUUUGGUCUCUUAAAUGAGAUUUUAGUCACAAUAUCCUGCAUCAGAGAAAUUUGUUACAAAUGGAAACAAUUUAUCUGGCUUUGAUGCUAAUGUAUGGUUAGAAAAAUAACUCUUGACCGGUGCAUCUGUUUCAUAGAUGAUUAUGUCUCAUUAUAUUUUUAUCGUUCUUCUAUUUUUCUUAAGGAAAAUUUUUCUGGUUAGUUAAUAUGCUCCCGUUGAAGAUUGUCAGUCAUUCCAUCUGUUGUGUCUUUUAAAGAGUAGGUUGAAUCACAAACUGAUUUGGAUCCAUCUGUUGAGAGGUCGAUCCAUUUACUUUGUGUUAUUCCCAGCUGGAAUGAGAAAAAUGUUCAGGUGAGAAAAUCUUCAAAUGAUGUAAGAGGAAAGAGGCUGCUGCUGAACUAACAGAACUUGCAUCCACCAAAAAGAUUGCUCUUGGAGAUUUUUUAGAAGUUUAUCGAACAAUAA
This is a long non-coding RNA of Salvia splendens (bonfire salvia), 621 nucleotides long. RefSeq lists it as uncharacterized. The transcript is spliced from 3 exons. Lineage: Eukaryota; Viridiplantae; Streptophyta; Magnoliopsida; Lamiales; Lamiaceae. The record is from RefSeq and is a predicted model, not a curated record.